UGAAAAAGCAAAGCAGUUGAAAGAUUGUGACGCAAAGCUAUAGGGUCUGUAAAAUGACAGCUAGUUACCA
This 70-nucleotide non-coding RNA is filed under the name Roseburia faecis. RNAcentral's name for it is "Cyclic di-GMP-I riboswitch". It matches the Rfam family "c-di-GMP-I riboswitch aptamer". Rfam says of the family: GEMM was predicted in a large-scale screen for bacterial structured RNA regulatory elements. Genes associated with GEMM are involved in a diverse array of functions, including chemotaxis regulation, signal transduction, secretion and chitin. Lineage: Bacteria; Bacillati; Bacillota; Clostridia; Lachnospirales; Lachnospiraceae. The record is from RNAcentral.